GAUGAACGCUGGCGGCGUGCCUAAUACAUGCAAGUCGAGCGAACGGACGAGAAGCUUGCUUCUCUGAUGUUAGCGGCGGACGGGUGAGUAACACGUGGAUAACCUACCUAUAAGACUGGGAUAACUUCGGGAAACCGGAGCUAAUACCGGAUAAUAUUUUGAACCGCAUGGUUCAAAAGUGAAAGACGGUCUUGCUGUCACUUAUAGAUGGAUCCGCGCUGCAUUAGCUAGUUGGUAAGGUAACGGCUUACCAAGGCAACGAUGCAUAGCCGACCUGAGAGGGUGAUCGGCCACACUGGAACGGAAACACGGUCCAGACUCCUACGGGAGGCAGCAGUAGGGAAUCUUCCGCAAUGGGCGAAAGCCUGACGGAGCAACGCCGCGUGAGUGAUGAAGGUCUUCGGAUCGGAAAACUCUGUUAUUAGGGAAGAACAUAUGUGUAAGUAACUGUGCACAUCUUGACGGUACCUAAUCAGAAAGCCACGGCUAACUACGUG
RNAcentral lists this ribosomal RNA (497 nucleotides) under uncultured bacterium. RNAcentral's name for it is "partial 16S ribosomal RNA". It matches the Rfam family "Bacterial small subunit ribosomal RNA", at positions 28 to 507 of the family's 1533-position model. The record is from RNAcentral.